This 406-nucleotide ribosomal RNA is filed under the name uncultured bacterium. Its description in RNAcentral is "partial 16S ribosomal RNA". It matches the Rfam family "Bacterial small subunit ribosomal RNA", at positions 30 to 526 of the family's 1533-position model. The record is from RNAcentral.
AUUGAACGCUGGCGGCAUGCCUAACACAUGCAAGUCGAACGAGUGGCGGGCGGGUGAGUAAUGUCUGGGAACCUGCUCGCUGGAGGUGGAUAACUACUGGAGACGGUAACUAAUACCGCCUACCGUCCGAUUGGCCCCGAUGGGAUUAGCUAGUGGGGGGGGUAACGGCUCACCUAGGCGACGAUCCCUAGCUGGUCUGAGAGGAUGACCAGCCACACUGGAACUGAGACACGGCCCAGACUCCUACGGGAGGCAGCAGUGGGGAAUAUUGGACAAUGGGCGAAAGCCUGAGGCAGCCAUGCCGCGUGUAUGAAGAAGGCCUUCGGGUUGUAAAGUACUUUAAGCGAGGAGGCGGUACCCGCAGAAGAAGCACCGGCUAACUACGUGCCAGCAGCCGCGGUAAUAC